Molecule: long non-coding RNA, 629 nt
Organism: Rhineura floridana
Lineage: Eukaryota; Metazoa; Chordata; Lepidosauria; Squamata; Rhineuridae
Exons: 3
Source: RefSeq, a predicted model, not a curated record
ACAGGACUGAGGGUAGGAGGACUUAUGCCAUAUUCUACACGUUCAGUUUGGCCAUAUGAUCUCCAAUCCUGGUGUAAAUUAAGCAGUGUGAGCUAUACGCUGCCACUAGUCAAGCUUACAGCUCCAAAUGGGAUGGAUAAAACACAAUGCUUUUGCUGACUUGUUGAGAAGGUAACUGAUGAAGGUUCAUCUGACAGCCACUGAGGCAAAAGACCACUUCCAUUGUGAAUGAUGAUCGUUGGGACAGCUACCCUUUGUGGUCUAGGAAAUUACAAAGGAAAGUAUUAUUUCGUUAAAAUCGCUUACUGCUUUAGUUUUUCUUAUUACUUCUGUAUUAUUAUUCCACACUUGACUUUAAUCAUACUGGUUCUAAUUCAGAUGAAGAAUUGGAUCAACAGACGUGCAAGUAGAACUCUGCUCACACAGUGGGGUUUUCCUUGUCCCCCCCCCACUGCAGCUCCAUGGUCCCCUAAAGUCACUCAUAAAGGUUGAGGAACUCUCUGUAAUGACAUGGGGGGCUGGAGAGAGGUGGAGAAAUCUUCAGAAUUCAGGGAGGCUGCUUUGCUCAUGUAGAAAUGCCUUUCUGCUUCUGCAGUAUGCCUGUGGAUCCAAGCUAGCAUUUAUUUAAA